GGGGGUGUAGCUCAGUGGUAGAGUGCAUACUUAGCAUCCAUGAGGCCCCCAGUUCAAUCCCUGGCAUCUCCA
Molecule: transfer RNA, 72 nt
Filed under: Bos taurus (domestic cattle)
Lineage: Eukaryota; Metazoa; Chordata; Mammalia; Artiodactyla; Bovidae
Also listed under: 2 other names
Rfam family: tRNA
About the family: Transfer RNA (tRNA) molecules are approximately 80 nucleotides in length. Their secondary structure includes four short double-helical elements and three loops (D, anti-codon, and T loops). Further hydrogen bonds mediate the characteristic L-shaped molecular structure. tRNAs have two regions of fundamental functional importance: the anti-codon, which is responsible for specific mRNA codon recognition, and the 3' end, to which the tRNAs corresponding amino acid is attached (by aminoacyl-tRNA synthetases). tRNAs cope with the degeneracy of the genetic code in two manners: having more than one tRNA (with a specific anti-codon) for a particular amino acid; and 'wobble' base-pairing, i.e. permitting non-standard base-pairing at the 3rd anti-codon position.
Source: Rfam by way of RNAcentral